UAUUCUGUUACUCUUAUGGGGUUAUUUCUGUCCACUGCAACGAGGGUCAAGUUGACCGUGGUGUCAGAUUGGCCACUGAAACAAAUACGCUGCUGCAGCUGUGUAAACAUGGACUUUCGAUGGACACGUAGGAACUUGCUGGUUGCAUAAACAACACAGCUUUAUAUAGUGGGCAUGGGGAGAUGUUUCUUAGAGUGCUUCGCAGAGGGUCUGCUGCAGUCACCCAGCUGACCUUUUUCGACCUCUCAGUUUGUUCUGCAGACGAACCUCCAGGUCGGACCAUCAAAAUACACGACAAAAUGGCGUCACGAACACAGGCCUGAGGAGCCGUUUCCAGAACCAACAUUUGUCCGGACUGGCCCGGACGCACGACCGUCGUCAUCAGUGAAGGUAAAUAGCGCUUAAAGCUUUUACGUGACGAUUCUCUGUGUUCGAGACAGUGUGAGCAAAUGUUGGUAAGAUUAGAGAAAUCUGAUCAUUAAAUUCUGAUUUGGCUGCUUUAAGUAAAUUAUCUGUGUGGGAGAGACAAAGAGAGGCGGUGCAGAAUUUACCUGUGCUUACUUAUACUGCUGUAAAUAGCUGCUUUGCAUAACCAACUGCUGUGUGUGUAUGUGCUAUCUUGCGCUUGGGAAAAAAUGACAUGGCCUAUUGACCUCUAGAAGUUACGUAGGUUAACUUGAGGCAGGCGACGUUUGGGAAAUCUAAAGUAUGGGCGUUGUAGUCUGCAUUUGGAUAAAAUAAAUUUAAGGCUGUGUAAGUUCUGUGUCGACGCUGGAAAAUUUGGUCCAGGUAUUGAGCGGGGUCACUGAACCAUACCUCGUUGAGCAGCUGUCAAAUUAAAGGGAAAGACGUACGGUACCGGCGUCGGUAGACAGUGCGGCCUCGGUGCAACGGGUUGUGAAAUUCGGUAAAUUUGACCUGCUCGAUAGAAUCGAAAUUUAUUAGGCACUGUAGGCUUGUGUAAAGUAUUGGGAAUCUACAUUAAGCUUGAAACGGAUCAAUCCAAGUGUAGAGCUUCCCAAGGUUUGUGAGGCCUGGUAACAUAGGGAUAACCGGUAAAAGCGCGUUGAGUUGAUUGCGUAUUGAACUGCAGUGUGUCGACGUGUUAGUAUUGCGCAAGUAUAGUUAAGUUGGGGUGAGUGUAUGUUUUAGUAUAUGUAAUGCAUUUAAGGAUAGUGUGAUAAUUGUUAAGUUGUUGUGGGGUUAAUAAUUAAUAGGUGUCGUGGUGAUAACAUUUUUUUGAGUUUGUGUCUGUGAAGUUAAAAAACCUUGAGUGUGUGUUAAUAAUUGACAGUGUGCGUUCCCUUUCCGUCCUUUGGAGCAGAGAGAGAGUGUGUGGCGGGGAGAUAAAGCCUCGCUGUUCAGUGUCUGUGUGUGUGUUUGUUUGUUUUUGAACAGUCUGGGGAGAGCCGUUGGGUGAGUGCUGUCUAGAUUAAACAUUUUUUGCAACAUUUUAACAUUUCAUUUUAACUAUCAUUUAUCAUUUUUGGUAAUUUUAAUAUUUUUGUGUGUCCAAUGUGGACAUUGCGGUAAUUUUUGUUCGAUGUAAUUUGUGAAGGUUAGAAUAACGUUCCGCACUGUGGUUGGGACUGGUGGAGCAGAUCACAGAGAGUGUGCAGAUUGUGGCCGUUCUUCGAUUAAAAGAAAAAGGGGGAAGCAGUGCUAACUGCUAAAUUGGUUUGGACUUCCAAAUUGGGCCCGGAGACUAGCUUUGUUCCUCUUCGAGUGUUCACUUCUCCUAUCUGUGUGUAUGUGUCACAGCUGUUAAGAGCAUUAGGCUCGAGAGUGUGUGUGUUUCAGUAUACAGGGCUAUAGGCUCUGGUGUGUGUGUGUGUGAAAGUGUGUGCAAGUGAGAAAAAAAGGUGACGUAUCACAUUAAUCAUUUUUGAGUUAUAGAGGGGUGCAGAGAUAAAGUCGCUGGAGAAUAAGGUAAAUGAAAAAUUAAGUAAAUAAAGAAUUAAUAGAAUAAAAUAAAGUAAUAAAAAAAAAAAAAA
Betta splendens (Siamese fighting fish) is the source of this 1994-nucleotide long non-coding RNA. RefSeq lists it as uncharacterized. NCBI's taxonomy places the organism in Eukaryota, Metazoa, Chordata, Actinopteri, Anabantiformes, Osphronemidae. The transcript is spliced from 2 exons. The record is from RefSeq and is a predicted model, not a curated record.